This 460-nucleotide ribosomal RNA is filed under the name uncultured Prevotella sp. RNAcentral's name for it is "bacterial SSU rRNA". It matches the Rfam family "Bacterial small subunit ribosomal RNA", at positions 338 to 795 of the family's 1533-position model. The record is from RNAcentral. Lineage: Bacteria; Pseudomonadati; Bacteroidota; Bacteroidia; Bacteroidales; Prevotellaceae.
CCUACGGGUGGCAGCAGUGAGGAAUAUUGGUCAAUGGGCGAGAGCCUGAACCAGCCAAGUAGCGUGCAGGAAGACGGCCCUAUGGGUUGUAAACUGCUUUUAUGUGGGGAUAAAGUGAGCUACGUGUAGUUUAUUGCAGGUACCACAUGAAUAAGGACCGACUAAUUCCGUGCCAGCAGCCGCGGUAAUACGGAAGGUCCAGGCGUUAUCCGGAUUUAUUGGGUUUAAAGGGAGCGUAGGCCGUGGAUUAAGCGUGUUGUGAAAUGUAGACGCUCAACGUCUGAAUUGCAGCGCGAACUGGUUCACUUGAGUAUGCACAACGUAGGCGGAAUUCGUCGUGUAGCGGUGAAAUGCUUAGAUAUGACGAAGAACUCCGAUUGCGAAGGCAGCUUACGGGAGCACAACUGACGCUGAAGCUCGAAGGUGCGGGUAUCAAACAGGAUUAGAUACCCGAGUAGUC